RNAcentral lists this long non-coding RNA (3546 nucleotides) under Homo sapiens (human). RNAcentral describes it as "non-protein coding lnc-BDH1-7:1". Lineage: Eukaryota; Metazoa; Chordata; Mammalia; Primates; Hominidae. The record is from RNAcentral.
AAACAGGUCUCAACAAACUUUUAAAAACUGAAAUCAUACCAAGUAUUUUUUCUUUUUUCUUUCUUUUUUUUUUUGAAAUGGGGUCUCACUCUGUCACCCAGGCUGGAGUGCAGUGGUGCAAUCCCAGCUCCACCUUUGCCUCCUGGGUUCAAGCAAUUCUCCUGCCUCAGCCUCCUGUGUAGCUGGGAUUACAUGCACGCACCACCACACCUGGCUAAUUUUUUUUUGUAUUUUUAGUAGAGAUGGGGUUUCGCCAUGUUGACCAGGCUGGUCUUGACCUCCUGACCUCAAGUGAUCCGCCCACCUCGGACUCCCAAAGUGCUGGGAUUACAGGCAUGAGCCACCGCACCCGGCCAUUCAAGUAUCUUUUGUGACUACAGUGCAAUACAACUAGAAAUCAAUAACAAGAACAACUUAGGAAACUAUACAAAUAUGUGGAAAUUAAACAACAUGCUCCUGAACAACCAGUUGGUCAAUGAAGAAUUAAGAAGGAAUUAGAAAAUUUAUUGAGACAAAUGACAGUGGAAACACAACAUACCAAAAACAGUGGGAUACUGCAAAAGUAGUACUAAGAGGGAAGAAAAUAGCAAUUAACAUCUAUAUCAAAAAGUAGAAAGAGCUCAACCUAAUGUUGCACCUCAAGAAACUAGAAAACCAGGACAAACCAAACCCAGAAUUAGUAGAAGGAAAGAAAUAAUAAAGAUCAGAGCAGAAAUAAAUGAAAUAGAGAAUGAAAAAAUAUAUAUAUAAAAGAUUAACAAAAGAGUUGUUUGUUUCAGAAGAUAAAAUUAACAAACCUUUAGCUAGACCAAGGGGGAAAAAAGACUCAAAUAAAUAAAAUCAGAGAGAAAAAGGAGACAUUGCAACUGACAGCACAGAACUAUGAAGAAUCACUAGAGGCUGUUAUGGGUAACUGUGCCAACAAAUUGGAAAACCUAGAAGAAGUGAAGAAAUUUGUGGACACAUACAGCUUACCGACACUGAAUCAUGACAAAACAGAAAACCUGGACACACCAAUAAUGAGUAAUGAGAUGGAAUCGGUAAUGAGUCUCCUAUCAAAGAGAAGCCCAGGGCCCGAUGUUGUCACUGCCGAAUUCUACCACAACUUCAAGGAAGAACUAAUACCAAUUCUUCCCAAAUUAUUCCACAAAAUCGAAGGAGAGAGAAUUCCUCCAAACUCAUUCUACAAGGCCAACAUUAUCAUGAUACCAAAGCUACAGAGGGGCACAAGAGGAAAAACUACAGGCUAGUACCCCCGAUGAGUAUAGCUACAGAAAUCCUUCACAAAAUACUAGCAAACCAAAUCUAAUCGCUGCACAUUAAAAAAAAAUCAGAAGAUAGCCGGUGUCGGUGAGGAUGGGGAGAAAAGGGAACCCUUACACGCUGCUGGUGGGAAUGUAAGUUAGUACAGCCAUUAUGCGACACAGUCUGGAGGUUCCUCAAAAAGUUAAAAAUAGAACUACUGUGUGAUCAAGCAAUCCCAAUACUGAGUAUAUAUCCAGGGGAAACACAAUCGGUGUAUCAAAGCGAUACCUGCACUCCUCUAUUUAUUGCAGUGCUAUUCAUGAUAGCCAAGGUAUGAAAUCAACUUAAAUGUCCAUCAACAGCCAGGCGCGGUGGCUCACUCCUGUAAUCCCAGCACUUUGGGAGGCCGAGGUGCACAGAUCAUGUGAGCCCAGGAGUUUGAGACCAGUCUGGCCAUCAUGGAGAAACCCCAUCUAACUAAAAAUACAAAAAUUAGCCAGACAUGGUAGCCUGCGCCUGUAGUCCCAGCUACACGGGAGGCUGAGGCAGGAGAAUCGCUUGAACCUGGGAGGCAGAGGUUGCAGUGAGCCAAGAUUAUGCCACUGCACUCCAGCCUGGGCGACAGAGUGAGAGUCUGUCUUAAAAAAAAAAAAUGUCCGUCAACAGAUUAAUGGCUAAAGAUAAUGGGGUGUGUAUACACUAUGGAAUACACUUCAACCUUAAUUCUUUCAGUUUUGGCAACAUGGGUGAACCUGGAGGAUGUUACCUUAAGGGCAAUAAGCCAGGCACAGAAAGACAGCUGUCACAUGCUAUUACUCGGUAAUCUAAAAAGUUGUUCUCAUGGAGGUAGAGAGUGGAAUAGUGGUUGCCAGAGGAUGAGGAGGGUAGGAGGGAGAAGGGCAUGGAGAGAGAUUGGUCAACAGGUACAUGGUUGUAGUUAGGCAGGAGGAGUACGUUCUGGUGCUCUGUUGCACAGUAAGGCGGGAGAAGGGCAUGGAGAGAGAUCGGUCAACAGGGCCAAGGGGACAGACAGUUAGACAGAAGGAGUACAUUCUGGUGCACAGUAAGAUGACGAGGGUUAACAGCAGUGUAUGGUGUAGUUCAGAAUAGCUGGAAGAGAGGUUUUUGAAUGUUCUCAUCACAGGGAAAUGAUAAAUAUUUAAGGUGAUGGAUAUGCUAAUUACUUUGUUGCGAUCAAUGCACAAUAUAUCCAUUGUAUACUAUCAAUAUGUACAAUUAUGUAUCAAUCAAAAUUUUUUAAAAAGGUGACACUAAAUACGGUAGCUAUGUAAAUCAAUUUUUUACAGAAGUUUUCUUCUACAUGAGCAGAUACCAAAUAUAGAUUGUUUGGUGUAUCUUAGAAUAAAAGCCACAUUCUUUUGUAGCUUUGGCACCUUAGGGACACUUCAUUGUGAGGAAGGGAAAUUCUUCAGCUUUGUCCAGAGGAAAUUAUAGGUAGAUCUGAAUGCUCAAAGUUUCUAAGAUGUCAAUGCUCUUUGUGUAAUUUUGGAAUCAAAGCCCUAGGAUGAUAGAGUACUUAAUGUUUGCUUUUGGGAUUUAUCAUGUUCUUUUUUUUUUUUUUUUUUUUUUGAGACAAUCUCACACUUGUUGCCCAGGCUGGAGUGCAAUGGCAUGAUCUCAGCUCACUGCAACCUCCACUUCCCAGGUUCAAGCGAUUCUCCUGUCUCAGUCUCCCGAGUAGCUGGGAUUACAGGCAUGUGCCACCACGCCUGGCUAAUUUUUGUAUUUUUUGGUAGAGAUGGGUUUUCACCAUGUUGGCCAGGCUGGUUUCUAGCUCCUGACCUCAGGUGAUCCACCCGCCUCAGCCUCCCAAAUUGCUGGGAUUACAGGUGUGAGCCACUGCGUCCAGCCUCAUGAUGUUCUUUAACAGUUAACCUUGUAAGAUCAGUACAGAAUGAAUCAGAACACAGGUAUGCAGAGUCACGUCAUGAGUCAGACUGAUUCUCAGGCCUAUGAGACCGGAUUGUAACCUGUUGGCACAUGGGAAAACUGUGUCACUAAGAAAUCAGAGGCUAGUUUGCUCUGAGGAAGAGGCAUAGGAUAUGCAGAGUCACUGGGCAAAAGUUGGCAGUCCAUUGGCCUCUGCGAUGGCCGUUUCUUACGGUAUAAUCAUAAAUGACAUUUUAGUGACCGCCUUAGUCCUACAGUUUCUGUCCUUCACGAUGCUGUAGUUAGCGCUUGGAAAUAUAGGAAAUAAGAAGUUGUUUUUGGCCUUUUUUGUUUGGCAAAAGAUGUCUGGUUCUGUGUGGAUGCCUUCAUCUUUUUGUAUAUUGUGCAGGU